AGCCACUGCCAUAUCACCAUGCAGCCCAAGACCGCUUACUCACUGAAGCUAAGCAGGGCUGAGCCUGGUCAGUACCUGGAUGGGAGAUCACAUGGGAAAACUUGGUUGCUGUUUA
Molecule: ribosomal RNA, 115 nt
Filed under: Danio rerio (zebrafish)
Lineage: Eukaryota; Metazoa; Chordata; Actinopteri; Cypriniformes; Danionidae
Source: RNAcentral